UAUCAGAGGGGUAGCUGUGUUAAUCUGUAUCCACAAAAACAACAAGGAGUCCAGUGGCACCUUAAAGACUAACAGAUUUAUUGGGGCUUCAGCGUUCAUGGGUAAAAAACAGCAUCUGAGAAUCUGUUAGUCUUUAAGCUGCCAACAGACUCCUCAUUUUUAUAUAAU
Dermochelys coriacea (leatherback sea turtle) is the source of this 168-nucleotide long non-coding RNA. RefSeq lists it as uncharacterized. The record is from RefSeq and is a predicted model, not a curated record. The transcript has 3 exons. Lineage: Eukaryota; Metazoa; Chordata; Testudines; Dermochelyidae.